RNAcentral lists this ribosomal RNA (983 nucleotides) under Leifsonia shinshuensis. RNAcentral's name for it is "bacterial SSU rRNA". It matches the Rfam family "Bacterial small subunit ribosomal RNA", at positions 521 to 1500 of the family's 1533-position model. Lineage: Bacteria; Bacillati; Actinomycetota; Actinomycetes; Micrococcales; Microbacteriaceae. The record is from RNAcentral.
UAAUACGUAGGGUGCGAGCGUUGUCCGGAAUUAUUGGGCGUAAAGAGCUCGUAGGCGGUCUGUCGCGUCUGCUGUGAAAACCCGAGGCUCAACCUCGGGCCUGCAGUGGGUACGGGCAGACUAGAGUGCGGUAGGGGAGAAUGGAAUUCCUGGUGUAGCGGUGGAAUGCGCAGAUAUCAGGAGGAACACCGAUGGCGAAGGCAGUUCUCUGGGCCGUAACUGACGCUGAGGAGCGAAAGCGUGGGGAGCGAACAGGAUUAGAUACCCUGGUAGUCCACGCCGUAAACGUUGGGCGCUAGAUGUGGGGACCAUUCCACGGUUUCCGUGUCGCAGCUAACGCAUUAAGCGCCCCGCCUGGGGAGUACGGCCGCAAGGCUAAAACUCAAAGGAAUUGACGGGGGCCCGCACAAGCGGCGGAGCAUGCGGAUUAAUUCGAUGCAACGCGAAGAACCUUACCAAGGCUUGACAUACACGAGAACGCCCUAGAAAUAGGGAACUCUUUGGACACUCGUGAACAGGUGGUGCAUGGUUGUCGUCAGCUCGUGUCGUGAGAUGUUGGGUUAAGUCCCGCAACGAGCGCAACCCUCGUUCUAUGUUGCCAGCGCGUAAUGGCGGGAACUCAUAGGAGACUGCCGGGGUCAACUCGGAGGAAGGUGGGGAUGACGUCAAAUCAUCAUGCCCCUUAUGUCUUGGGCUUCACGCAUGCUACAAUGGCCGGUACAAAGGGCUGCAAUACCGCAAGGUGGAGCGAAUCCCAAAAAGCCGGUCUCAGUUCGGAUUGAGGUCUGCAACUCGACCUCAUGAAGUCGGAGUCGCUAGUAAUCGCAGAUCAGCAACGCUGCGGUGAAUACGUUCCCGGGCCUUGUACACACCGCCCGUCAAGUCAUGAAAGUCGGUAACACCCGAAGCCGGUGGCCCAACCCUUGUGGAGGGAGCCGUCGAAGGUGGGAUCGGUGAUUAGGACUAAGUCGAAUCAAGGAGCC